UAUAAAUAGUUAACUUUGAAACUGCGAAUGGCUCAUUAUAUCAGUUAUAGUUUAUUUGAUGAAGAAUACUAAUUGGAUAACCGUAGUAAUUCUAGAGCUAAUACAUGUAUAAAGUCUUGUAGACUGCAUUUAUUAGAAUGAAAACCAUAGGUUUCGGCCUAUUCGUGAGUAAUAAUAGCUAAUCAUAUCGUAUGCUUACGUAACGAUGUGUCUUUCAAGUUUCUGCCCUAUCAGCUUUCGAUGGUAGUGUAUUGGACUACCAUGGCAGUAACGGGUAACGAAGAAUUUGGGUUCGAUUUCGGAGAGGGAGCCUGAGAGAUGGCUACCUCAUCCAAGGAAGGCAGCAGGCGCGUAAAUUACCCAAUCCUGACACAGGGAGGUAGUGACAAUAAAUCACAAUGCGGAACAAUGUUUUGCAAUUGGAUUGAGAACAACGUACAAACCUUAUCGAUAAACAAUUGGAGGGCAAGUCUGGUGCCAGCAGCCGCGGUAAUUCCAGCUCCAAUAGCGUAUAUUAACGUUGUUGCAGUUAAAAA
Molecule: ribosomal RNA, 536 nt
Filed under: Blastocystis sp. subtype 14
Lineage: Eukaryota; Bigyra; Opalinata; Blastocystidae
Description: SSU rRNA
Rfam family: Eukaryotic small subunit ribosomal RNA
Source: RNAcentral